CGAACAGUAGCCGACCUGAGAGGGUGAUCGGCCACAUUGGAACUGAGACACGGUCCAAACUCCUACGGGAGGCAGCAGUGGGGAAUAUUGCACAAUGGGCGAAAGCCUGAUGCAGCAACGCCGCGUGAGUGAUGAAGGCCUUCGGGUCGUAAAACUCUGUCCUCAAGGAAGAUAAUGACGGUACUUGAGGAGGAAGCCCCGGCUAACUACGUGCCAGCAGCCGCGGUAAUACGUAGGGGGCUAGCGUUAUCCGGAUUUACUGGGCGUAAAGGGUGCGUAGGCGGUCUUUCAAGUCAGGAGUGAAAGGCUACGGCUCAACCGUAGUAAGCUCUUGAAACUGGGAGACUUGAGUGCAGGAGAGG
Molecule: ribosomal RNA, 362 nt
Filed under: Clostridioides difficile
Lineage: Bacteria; Bacillati; Bacillota; Clostridia; Peptostreptococcales; Peptostreptococcaceae
Description: bacterial SSU rRNA
Rfam family: Bacterial small subunit ribosomal RNA
Source: RNAcentral